This is a long non-coding RNA of Anolis carolinensis (green anole), 4880 nucleotides long. The record is from Ensembl. NCBI's taxonomy places the organism in Eukaryota, Metazoa, Chordata, Lepidosauria, Squamata, Anolidae.
CACACACAGACACACACAAAUACACGCUCUCAGGCACAAGAACGCGACGCUCCUACCUCGGACUAAUAUUCUCCGACAAUAAUCCGGAUCAGUCGAGCUGGAUUUGUUUUUAUUGCAAUCUUCCACGGCGGCGCCGGAAGCUGAAAAAGUCCCUUGCUGCUCCUUCAAGAAGGCCGUCGAGAGCGUCCCCUCGCCGCCUUUCCCUUCCUUGCCCUCUUUAUUAUUAUUGUUGGCGUGGUUGUUGUUGUUGUGCCCGUUCUUGGACAACCGGUUGGCUUCCAGCUCCGGGUUGGUGUUGCAUCUAACGUCCAUUUUGUCUGGUUUCCCAAACAUGUAGUGCAAGAUGGUUUUAGUUUUAGUUUCUUCAAAAGGAAAGUACCCAAAAAGAAGGAGGAAAGGAGGGGGAUUUGGGGGGGGGGGGGGAGAGAGGAGAAGGGGUGGCGGUGUGGGUGGAAGCGAGGCGAAGCCGGUGUGUUGGGCGAGGGCACGUCUUCUGACCAGAUGAGGGUCCCCUUGAAUCCGGCGAAGGGGUCUGCAGAGAGAGAAAGAGGGAGAGAGAAGGAGGGAGAAAGAGAGAAAGAGAGAGAGAGGCAGGGAGCCUGUGCCUUCCUCAGUCCCCGCGUCCUAGUGCCAGUGUCCAGCUUUCUCCGUCGCCCCAAUGAUCAGAUUUUGUCUUCCCCAAGACUAGAGAAAAUAUUCAGUUGUUUUCACAAUUGCAGAUCUUUUUUCCCCUUCAUGAUGCCCAACAGGAGGUGAGUGCAUUUCAUGUGGAUGAUGAUAGAUAGUAGUGUGUGUAUGUAUGAACGGAUGUGUGUAUGUAUGGCUGUGAGACAGAAUUGCUUUGUGUACAAAGGUUGUUGUUGCUGCUGCUACUGUUGCAUGCCUUCAAGUCAUUUCUGAGUCAUGGCAACCUUUCUUAGGAAGAUUUAUUCAGAGGGGUUUUGGCUUUGCCUUCCUUGAAAACUAACAGUAUGUGACUUGCCCAAGGUCACCAGUGGGUUUCCAUGCCUGAGGAGCAAUUCAAACCCUAGCAUCCAAAGUUGUAAUCUAAUCCUCAAACCACUAUACCACACAUGAUAUAAUGAGACAUAAUGAGGCAUGAGACAUCUCCACAAAAUCACAAACCAGUAUUUCCAUAUGGCAUCCAUAUGUUUGGACACUGGAAACAAGGUGUUAGAAUAUGCAUCACAGUCCAACAACUAAGCACAAAUAACUCUUUAUCUUAGUAGAGCAUUAGGCCAGAGGGGCUAUCAAAAAUGUAGAGUCCUCCUUUUGUACAAAUAGCUUGUAUAACUUACUUGUAUGCAAUUUUUAUGUUUGUAUAUGCCUUAAAAUUCUUGUGACAUUGCUCCUCUGUAUAAAAUAAACAUGUAGUUAAAUUAAAGAAUGUCUGGAAUCAGCUGUCUAUUGGGAACCUUUAUUUCCAACAAGACAAAAAGAUUGCACUUGCAUUCUGUUCCUGGAAAAAUGUAUAACAAGUGUUUUCAAAUAAACCAGGCAAUAUAGGUCUAUUAUAAAGCAAAGAGAAAAAUAUACGUGUAAAAUGUGUGUGGGUGUCAUGUGUGUGAAGACAUUUCCCCCAUGCUUCAGUUAUAAUAUUUUCUACACAUAUAGCAUAAUAAAAAGAUGGAGGUGUUCGGCUCAAUGAUUCCAUUUAAAUCAAAAUAUUUUGAAUUUAAUCAAUGUGUUUGACUACUAUAGAUGCAAUAAAAAAAGCCAGGCACAUCAAUGGGUGAGUCUCAGUCAGCCCUCCUUGACCUAAAUAUAGCAAUCUUACAAAUCAAGUGAAAAAAAGAGAUUGUGAACAGAUAUUCUUCUGCUUAAAUAGAGGUCCUACCCCCCCACCCCAUCUAUUAUAUUUAUGGAGAGCUAGAAUGUGCACAUGUUUUAUACCUCACAAAUUUCAGGAGCCAUUCCAAACUACACAGUUAUGGCAGUAUGAUCCCACUUUAAAUGUCAUGGCAACAUUCUGUGAAAUCCUGGGAUUUGCAGUUUAUGAAAAUUUAUUUCAUUUUUUUGCCAAAGAGCUCUAGUGCCUCAGCAAAACAACAAUCUCAAAGAUUUUAUAAGACAUUGUUAUAGUAAUUAAAGUGGAAUCUUAACACAACCCAACAAAAAAGUCUUGGUGUCUUGGUUUUUAGGCCUGUUCCUGGGGUUAUUUAGAGUGCUAAUUCAGAAAAUUGUAUUGGAUUGACAACCUCUGCUCUAGUUUCUUAGAUAUGGUUAUCAUGAUUUUCUAUGGAAACUGGUUUGUAUCUCAAAAACCAAAGCUGAUUGGGAAAAACCGAUACCAUUUUUGAAAACAGCAAGUCACGUAUACCUAGAAAUAGGUCUAACAUUUGAGGCACCAAAAUAUAUGUUGGCCAGUGUAAUGCUCUAAUGGUGUAGCAUGAAAGGACCCCAGGGGCAAAAAUUUACCUAGAUGUGACUAGUGUGUGAACGACAAGUAGAAAUCCUCACUUUUCAUGCUUCCUCUCAAGAGGAAAGGUAUUCUUCUCAGAUAGACUAUUAGCUGAUCUUGAUAUGUUGGUUUUCUAUGAAGAAUACCGUUCAUGGAGCGCUAUUCAGAAAGAUUCACCUGUAAGAGCUCAUGUUGUAAUAAUGGUACAAAACUCUGCUAUCUGAUAAAUCUACUGUGAGGCUAUGUUGCAGGUUGUGAUGUUGUGACAGAGAAAGACUUUCAAAGACUAUUAGAGUCAUUUUGUGCACUGCAUUUGAUGACACAGUUUGAAUGUUGGACUACAACUCUGGAGGCCAGGGUUUGAAUCCCCAUUCAGCCACAGAAACCCAAAUCAUACUGUUACAGCCUCAGAGGAAAGCAAAGGCAAAUGCAAUCUGAACAAACCCUGUUAAGAAAACCUUGUGAUAAGUUUGCUUUUGGGUCACCAUAAGUCUGAGAUCACUUGAAGGCACACAAUAACAUCAGUAAGUAUGUCUUUAGAAAAUAAGUAAAUAUGCAUGCACAAUAUCCUAACAUUUCCUGCAUUUUUGAGGCCUAUACAGGUAGAACUCAUAUCUAUCCCGUUAAAUAUCCACAGAACACUAGGAAUAUAUGUUUUUUCUCCCAAACCUAGAUAUCUUAGCCUGGUAUAAAAAGCAGAGCAUUUGAGGGGCAAUCUGUCUAAUGAGAUUUAUUCUGAGCCAAACUGUACCCUUUCAUAUAAGUCAUUUGAUUCUGUUUAAUUGACAAGAGCCAAAUGUAUUCAAUAAUAAUAAAGACAAAUAUUUUUCGCCUCUCUUCAGGUCAAAACUAUUUGUAAUCUCGAAAAAAGAAAACAAAACAUCAAAGCUGAAAACAUCCACUCCAGGUUUUUCACUGGCUCCACAAACAAGAAUACAUAAUUAAGAAUGAAGUGAAAACAGGAACAAUAUUAAAGAUGUAUUGAAGAGCAUAGCUUUAUUUGUUGCAUUAAACACAGGCCACUCAAACAAAUGUGACUUAAAGCAGACACACACACUCAGAAAGGAUAUAAUCUUCCCACAAUGAUGUCAAUAAAACAGUAUUACAGUCCAAUGUCAGGUAUUAAGCUCUAUCUGGUUAGAGAACUGUGUUUCUAUCAAUCUUUGGACAUUUUUUUAAUCUACAUUCUCUAUAAGAAUAGUCUGGGUAAAUCAUGGGAAGUAGUUUUUAAUGUCUGGGCUAGUCCUAGAAGGAUAAACUAUUGCUUUUUGGGACUUAAGCACUGAACCACAUCAUCCAGCAAUAUAAGCUUCACAGCUUUCUCACUUUUUAUUACCAACUAAAGUUAUGCUUCCUCUCUUAAUCCCAUACAAAUGCCUCAGAAAGGCAUAGUUAGGCCCUGGUAUACAAUCUUGGAAUUACAUACAACUGAAUCUCACUUGAGUAAUGUUUCUUUCUCUUUAAAAAAAACCCUUUAAAAGAUAUGGGUGAUCACUUUUAUUGUUGUGUGUCUUCAAGUCCUUUCCAACUUAUGGAAACUCUAAAAUGAACAUAUUACAGGAUUUUAUGGGGCUGAGGAUAAUGACUCACCCAAUGUCACCCAUUGAACUUUCAUGGCAUAGCGGGGAAUCUCCAAAGUUUAGCAUAAUGCUCAAACCACAUAAUGCUAAUGCUAUAAUAAUUCAUGUCCAGAAGUAUUUCUGGCUGAACUACUAAAGGCGAGAAUAAAGUGUUUGGAUUUCAACAAAUCAAACACGAAGUGUGGAUAUGUAAAGGUAAAGGGUUUCCCCUGACAUUAAGUCAAUUCGUGACUGACUGGGGGUUGGUGCCCAUCUCCAUUUCUAAGCUGAAGAGCCAGCAUUGUACAUAAACAUCUCCAAGGUCAUAGGGCUGGCAUGACUGCAUGGACCACAUUACAGUACCUAUUGAUCUACUCACAUUUGAAUGUUUUUGAACUGCUAGGUUGGCAGAAGCUGGGGCUAACAGUGGGAGCUUACCCCGGUCCGAGAAUUCGAACCACUGACCUUUCAGUCAGUUCAGCAGCUCAGCAAUUUAAUCCACUGUGCCACCAGGGGCUCCUAAAAAAAGUGUGGAUAGAAAUAAUACCAUGGGAGGAUAUCUCUAGCUAUUGUUUCUAAAUUAAACCAAAUCAGGCUCAAGGUCAGAGACUACCUUCCAGUAUCUAGUGAGCAGUGGGUGUACAUGUCCCAAGGACAUUUAAAACCUUGGGUCACUCUGGACCCCUCCCAACACCCCCCUCAUAAGACCACAGUAGAGUCUAGAUAGCUAGAUAGCACAGCCGGUCCUAGGUAUUUUUCAAGUGUAAGUGAACAGAAUUUUGGCACCCCCCCCCAAACCAAUCACUGAAAAAUAAAAUGGUUGGAUAAGCAAAAAUGUUGGAUAAUAAGGAGGGAUUAAGGAAGAGCCCAUUAAACAUCAAAUUACAUUAAGAUUUUACAAAUUAAACACCAGAACAUAA